AGUGAACGCUGGCGGUAGGCCUAACACAUGCAAGUCGAACGGCAGCACAGUAAGAGCUUGCUCUUACGGGUGGCGAGUGGCGGACGGGUGAGGAAUACAUCGGAAUCUACUUUUUCGUGGGGGAUAACGUAGGGAAACUUACGCUAAUACCGCAUACGACCUACGGGUGAAAGCAGGGGAUCUUCGGACCUUGCGCGAUUGAAUGAGCCGAUGUCGGAUUAGCUAGUUGGCGGGGUAAAGGCCCACCAAGGCGACGAUCCGUAGCUGGUCUGAGAGGAUGACCAGCCACACUGGAACUGAGACACGGUCCAGACUCCUACGGGAGGCAGCAGUGGGGAAUAUUGGACAAUGGGCGCAAGCCUGAUCCAGCCAUACCGCGUGGGUGAAGAAGGCCUUCGGGUUGUAAAGCCCUUUUGUUGGGAAAGAAAAGCAGCAGGUUAAUACCCCGCUGUUCUGACGGUACCCAAAGAAUAAGCACCGGUUAACUUCGUG
Molecule: ribosomal RNA, 492 nt
Filed under: uncultured bacterium
Lineage: Bacteria
Description: partial 16S ribosomal RNA
Rfam family: Bacterial small subunit ribosomal RNA
Source: RNAcentral